Molecule: long non-coding RNA, 17153 nt
Filed under: Vitis vinifera (wine grape)
Lineage: Eukaryota; Viridiplantae; Streptophyta; Magnoliopsida; Vitales; Vitaceae
Description: long non-coding RNA (VVIN_LNC007049)
Source: RNAcentral
CUUGCCUCAUUUGCAUGCAUACAAUGACACAAAUGCAUCGGUUCAGGUCAUGGCCGGCCUUCGAAACUUAGCAGAUGCGGAACAUCCUUGCAACGUCCCAUUAAGCCCGAGCACUAAACUGAUUUACACUGUUUCUAUGAACUCAUUCCUAUGCCCCAAUAAUUCAUGUGCAGGGCCCAAUGGGACGCGGUUCUCCGCAAGUAUAAACAACAUAAGCUUCCAAUUCCCUACAAUUGACAUACUGCAAGCUUACUAUUAUAACAUCAGUGGUGUAUAUGGAGAUAAAUUUCCUAGCGUUCCACAAUUGGUGUUCGAUUUUACCACUAAUAUUCUUCCCUUAGAGUAUCAGACGCCGAAAAACGGAACAGAAGUAAGGGUGCUCGAGUAUAACUCCACAGUGGAGAUUGUUUUUCAAGGGACAAACUUGAUUGCAGGGACACACCACCCCAUGCAUCUCCAUGGAUACAGUUUCUAUGUUGUUGGAUGGGGAUUUGGGAAUUUCGAUAAAAAUAGGGACCCAUUGCGCUACAAUCUGGUGGAUCCUCCCCUUCAGAGUACCAUCUUCGUUCCUACGAAAGGUUGGGCUGCAAUCAGAUUCAAGGCAUCCAACCCUGGUAUGUUGCAAGCACUCAUGUGAAUUUAAAAAAAAAAAAAAAAAAACCCCUUGAAGCUGCCAACCUGCAUACCAAGGAAAUAAUUUUUCUUAAUAUUGCAAUAAGUUAGGUGUAAUGUUGGUAUAUUUUCUCUGUUGCAGGAGUGUGGUUCAUGCACUGCCAUGUAGAACGCCAUGUGACUUGGGGCAUGGGAACUGCGUUCAUAGUGAAAAAUGGUAAACACCAAGAAGCUCAAAUGCUGCCUCCGCCAUCCGACAUGCCACCAUGUUGAAGCUGCAAAGAAUUAACAUGCCAAAGAUUUCAUUGAAUGUUUGCAUUAUUCAGAUUUCAUUAUUUAUUUUUUGUUCAAAAAAGUUGUAGAAUAUUGUCUAGGAUUAUUAGAUAAUUUGUCAAUUUCUUGGAUUGUUAAAAGUCUAUAAAGAUAAUGUUGUAGAAUAAUCUUUGAGAUAUGCAAUGGUGGAAUUUGCCAUGAAAGUCUUGAUUUGACAACUUUUGCCCAUUCCAAUUUUAUUCAACAUGAUAAAAUAUCAUGUUGUAUUAGAAAAGUUUGAAAUUAUCUUUCAUUUGACAUGUUUUACUUUUCCAUAUUUGAUUCCAAUUUCAUACAAGGUUAGGUAUCAUAUUAAUAAUUAAAAAAAAAUUAUAAAUGAUACAGUUUAAAGUAAUUAAAUAAAUCAAAUAUUUAAAAAUUAGACUAUGAUCUAAAUGGAUACUUGUGAAAAAGGUCAUGAAAUGAUUUAUUUAAUUUUUACUUUUACAACUCAAAAUAUUUUGCAAAUAAGAAAUUUUUUAUGACGUCUUACACAAUUGAGAUAAAAUCAAUUAUUUUUAUUUAUUUAUUUCAAAUUAAAAUAAGCAUUUUUUUUUCUAAAUUUAAAAUAAUUGAUAUAUAAUUUAUAUUUUUACCUCCUAUUUUAGUAACAAUAUCACAAGACUACACCAAGAUAAAGGGAAAGGAAAAAAAAAAGGAAAAAAAUAAAAAAUCGUCCAUUUCCAUUGCAUGGGACAAAUUAAGUCUAACCCCACACCGAAGGAACUCCAAGUCUAUUUUUUAGCGAUUUAAUUAAUUUUCAACCCUCAUUUUAUUUUUUUAUUAUUUAUCUUUUAUUUUACAUCAAAGUAAACCCUUUACUGCUUCCUUAAAAUUAAAUAACUAGUAAAAAAAAAUCAUUUUUUAUUUUUUAUUUUUUAAAUCUAAGGUAAAAAAAAAUGUUUAGAAAUUAUUUUUAAGGGAUUUUUUUUAUUAUUUUUUAAAAGUGAUUUUCAUACAUAUUUAAAUUUCAUUAGGAUCGACUCUUAAGAGUUAAAUAAAAGUUUUUAUACGUAUUUAAUUAUUAUUUAAAAAAAACUUAACUUUUAAAAAAGGUUUCAUGUAGAAGUCAUCAAAAUGUUAUUUUUUAUAAGAAUUUUAUAAUUCUAUUAUAUAUAUAUAUAUAUAUAAAAGAAGUUCUUUCAUGUUUAAUAAAACUUUUACAAUAUCAAUAUUACCCCUUUAAAAUUAUUACUUUAAUUUUGAUUUUAAUUUUCAGUUAAAGCAAAAAAUAUGAAGCUAUCUCGAAUUUGACCUUACCAUCCACCUAAUUACUUUUUAUAAGAAAGUGUUACUUUUUAAUAUUUAGAAGGGCUUUUAUUUAUUCAUGUUUAAAUCAUUCCCAAAUAAAAUUUAUAAGAAAGAAAGAAAAAGUUUGCUCCAAUAUUAGAAAGAAAUACAAUUUUUAAAACAUGGAUUGAAGCAAUUAUAGAACUUUUUUACAUAUUUAAAAUUAUGAUAUCCUAAUUUCUUACAACUCCAAUCUCCAAUAUCCAUUAUUUAUCUAAAAUAUAACAUAAGGAAUGGUUGUCUACUCAUAAUACAGGACAUGAAAUAUAAUUUUGUUUUAGGCAACAUCAAAUUCAAUGCAUUAAAAUCAAAAGAGCAAGUGAGGAUCCGAAUUUCUCCCUGUGCAUGGUAUUUGACAGUGGUCCAUAUGAAAUUUAUUUAUAGUCAAAGUAUUUUUAUUAUCUAAUUUUAGAUGUGUUUGCAUUUUUAUUGAAUAGAAAAAACUAAAAUAAUUGAUUUUUUCUAUUUAGUUAAAAAUAACUUGCCAAUAUCAACCAACAUAACUAAACUAGACCUAUUACUAAUAAGUUCACUUUAGUUAUGUUGGUUGAUAUCAACAGGUUACUUUUAGUUAAAUAAAAAAAAUAAAGUCAAAUAUUUUAAUUUUUUCUAUUGAAACAAAAAAAUAAACACCAUCUUAAUGUUAGAAAUACCCCUUGUAUUUCAAAUCAAAUUUAGAGGACAACAAGAUUUUUAUUUCAAUAAUACAAUAAUACAGUUAUCAUUAUUAUGGCUAAAAAUCAGCCUACCAUUCGAGUAAACACACACACACACACACACACACAUAUAUAUAUAUAUAUAUAUAAAAUGCCAAUAUCACUAUUUUAGGCUAUGAAAUAAAUCUUUCAUGCAAUCAUUUCAGUGAUUCCUUUAAAUAAUAGAAAGAGAUAUUUAAUUUACAAACUUUGUGUAGAGAUAGGAUACAAAAAAUAUAAAAAAUAAAAAAUAAAAAAAAUACUAAUAUAUAUAUAUAUAUAUAUAAACUCCUCUAGCAAACCCAAUGAUUAAACCUAAAUAAUAAUAUUUUUAAUUCUUAAACUAUAUUCAUAUUUAAUAUUUGGUUUUAAUUUUAACCUUUUGCUUUAUUUUAUUAUUUUAGGUUUAAUAUGUUUUUUUUAAUAUUUUCCUCUUAAUUUUUACAGAUUUAUAUCAAAUGUUGGAAAAUGUCUUUUUAUAUAAUUGGAUACUAUAUAUAUAUAUAUAUAUAUUUGCAUAAUUACCAUAUAUUCCCCACCCUAUGAUUGUUAUGGUUCAUACAUCAUUAACCAUCUAAUAAGAGAGCUUAACAUAUUCUAGCCACUUUCAUGCUAAAGAGGGCGACACAAGUCAUUGCCCAUGCCAAAAAAAAAAGUCAAGCAAAAGUUGACUUCAAGCCUUGACUAGUUGCCACUAGUUGUCUAACCUUGCCCCAAGGUUCAUUCAUCUUUCUUAUCUUAUGAAUUGGUGUGAAGAUAACUUUGUAUAAAGGGAGGAAUGCUUAUUGAAGAAGUGAGUAAAAAUAUGAUGUCAAAUAGAGUAGUAGAUGUAGAAAUGCAAGAAUAAAGAGGAAGAAUAUACAAUCUUGUUGUAGUUCUUAAUUUUUAUUUAAAAAGAUUGUGUUUGGUUUUCAGAAAAUGCAAGAGAAAGGGCAAAAAAAAUACUAUGGAUAGUUAUUUUCCUUAGUUUGGGUGACAUGAGAAAUAUAUGGAAAAAAAAUAUAAAAGAAAAUGCUAAAGAAAAUAUUGUAAUAUUUUCCCUUCUACUUUCCUUAAAAAUUAGUGAGGAAAAUAAGAGAGAAAAAGAAGAGAAAAGUUGGAGGAAAUUUUAUCAAGCUCACAUUAUCUUCUUCAUCGAGUCUCCAAUUCACCUAACUUCCUCUUCACUAGUAGUUAUGGAUUCUCACCACCAUUGCUUCAACAACUACCACCAUACUCCAACCAUCUUCCAAUACCUCCAAAAACCAACCCUUUUCAGGUACACAAGUUCCCAUGGAUGAAUUGUAUUAUUCAAAUCUAGUCAAUAUGUUUGAAUCCAUGUCUUCAUACCAGGUAUGGAUUGAAUUCCUCUCUUAACCUCACACCUUGAUGUUUUGUAGAUGUAGGUCUUUUCUUAAUGAAUCCUAUUUUUUUUUUUUCAAUUUAGAAAUUUUAACACCGAAUUUUGUAAAUAUGGAAAAUUUGAUACUACUCUUUGUAAUUGGAUUUCAAUGUUUCUCUUGUGUUUGCAUUUUUUAAUUCAUGUGCUUCCAUUUGAUUUUGAAUACAAGAAUUUUAAUUUUUCGUUUCAUACUGCAAGACUUAAUAGCAACAAUGAGGACAUUACAUGUUUGAGGAAUUACCUAUCAGAGAAUUUAACACACCAAUGAAGUUGUUGCUAUAACCAAAGAAAAAAUAAGUUAGAAAACUAAGAAAAAAAAUAGGCAGAACAAGUAUAAUAAUAGUAUUGUGGAUUGGGUAUGAGAAAAUUAUAGAAGAGAGAGGAUUCUUGAUGUGGUAGAUUUGCAAUUGAAUGAGAAUUUCAACAAAGAGCAAGAUGUCCCUUCCGUGUAGCAUUUAAUCUUACCUUAUUGGGAUUUGUCUUGUUAUAACUUUUGAUGUUAGCUUAGGCAAUGAAAACUUCAGGAACUAAAACUAUCAACUUGUCCUUUACCAUUAGAUAGUUUCUUUCUUAAUAGAAAUGUAGUAAGUAUUCUUAGCAAAUACAACUUGGUUUGGUGGUACAUUUUUUCCUCACUACUUUAUUAUCAUGAUAGAACUUGAUAAAUGUGUCUUAGAUCAAUUUUGUGAAGUUUAAAAAUUCCCUCUUAAAAAUUCUAAACAACUUAUCCAACUUAAGAAGCCUUCUUAAUUAAUGCACAAUCAAUUACAUAUGUUAAGAAGAUCAUUCUCUGUUGUAGUAGCUCUUUAGAUUAUUCUUGCAAAAUUUCCUUUGUUGUGGAAGUCUUUAGUGCAUGCAUGUAGUUAAUUGACUCAAAGCAUUGUACUAAGAAGGUGUUAAACAAACACACAAUCAAUUGAUGAUGAAAACAAACCAUACGAAUCGAAAACUGAUGAAGUUUAGGAUAAGCUAUUACCUCUAGUCAUUGGUGUUUGAUUUAUUAUACUCACUAUUUUGCUACAAGUUUUAGCUCUUCCAAACUCUGAUAUCUCACGGAAGAUAGUGUAGUACUGAAGAAGAGAAAAAUUAAGAGACGAGUUCGGGGACAAAAAAAAUAUAUUUAGAGUUGUGGCUUCCCAUCAAAACCACGUCAUUAUUGUUGCCACCAUUUCAGAGCAGUUGUGGGUUACUUUCUUGGAAUGUAGGGAAUGUGGAAGACUUGGUCAGAGGUGUUGGACCACUUUAGAUAAACUCCCACAACUAAAGAGAUUGAUACCCAUUUUGUGAAACGGGUCUUGUGGGUGUUGUGGGCGUGUAACAGAAAUAACAUUCUCCCACUUGGUCCACACCUUUAACCUAAUGUCUCAUUUUAGUCCAUCAAUUAUCCACAUUAAGUAACAAAUACAUGAAUCAUUGCGAUAAGUCCUCUAUAUAACGAGUGUUACUUUCCAUGUAUCAUAGUGUAUUUAUUUCUUAACGUUAUACUUUAUUUGGCAAUAUUACUUAAUGAAUAAACCUUAUGUUCAUUCUUGGUUCAAUGAAGUUAAAUUUUCUCAAAAUUAAAUAAAGGUGUACAUCAAUAUAAGAAAACAUAAUAAUAAAAGUUUGUACAAUAGAAACUACAUAAGGGAACUAAGUCCCAUGUUCACUACAUGAUCCUUGAAUUUCAAUGGUGGCAUGCCCUUAGUCAAAUGAUCAACGAUCAUCAAUUCAGUGCUAAUGUGCUCAAUAACCACUUUCUUUUCUUUAACACGUUCUCUUAUAGCUAGAUACUUAAUGUCGAUGUGUUUGCUUCUACUUCCACUUUUAUUGUUCUUCGCCAUAAAGAAAACAUUUGAAUUGCCGCAAUAUAUACUCAAUGGCCUAGAUAUAGAAUCCACAAUUCUAAGCUUGAAAAUGAAACUCUUAAGCCAUACACCAUGCAAAGUAGCCUCAAAACAGGAUAUGAACUCAACUUCCAUAGUAAAAGUAGCUGUCAAGGUUUGUUUAACGCUCCUCCAAGAUAUAGCUCCACUGGCCAAUAUAAAAAUGUAUCCAGAUGUUGAUUUAUGCGAAUCAACAUAACCAGCAAAGUUUGAAUCUGAGUAGCCAACAACCUCUAAAUUGCUUGUCCGUCUGUACAUAAGUUUGUAGUCAUCACUUUCUUUGUAGCUCUCUAGUGGUCUAAACCUAGGUUACUUUGAUAUCGUCCUAACAUUCCAAUAGCAAAUGCAAUGUCAGGCCUUGUGCAGGCUUGAGCAUACAUCAAACUUCCGACUGUAGAAGCAUAUGAAAUGUUCUUCAUCUGUUCCAUCUCAAGAUCGUUUUUCGGGUAUUGGUUUAGAUUGAACCUAUCACUCUUCACUAUGGGAGAAACACUAGGUGAACAAUCCUUCAUCCGAAAUCUCUCUAUUCCUGAGAUAGAACUAAGAUACCUUGAAAUCUGUCUCUAUGGAUCUUAAUGCCAAUGACAUAAGAUGCCUCACCCAUAUUCUUCAUGUCAAAAUUUUUAGAGAGGAAUUUUUUCACCUCAUGAAGUAAACCCUUAUCAUUGGUUGCAAAUAAGAUGUCACCCACUUAUAAAAUAAGAAAACAAACUUUACUUCCAUUGAACUUAAGGUAUAUGCAUUGAUCCAUAAAAUUUUCUACAAAACCAAAUGAAGAAAUUACAUUAUGGAAUUUUAAAUACCAUUGGCGGGAUGCUUGUUUUAAACCGUAUGUGGAUUUCUUGAGCUUGAAAACCAAUUGCUCACCAUCACUAGAGGGGAAUCCUUUAGGUUGUUCCAUGUAAACCUCCUCCUCUAGCUCUCCACUAAGAAAUGCAGUUUUCAUAUCUAUUUGUUGCAACUCCAAAUCAAAGUGGGCUACUAAUGUCAAUAUAAUGUGUAAGGAAUCUUUCUUAGAUACAAGAGAGAAGGUCUUCGUGUAAUUGAUUUCUUCUUUCUAAAUGAACCCCUUUGCAACAAGUCUGACCUUGUAUCUCUCAAUGUUGCCUAAUGAGUCUUUCUUUGUCUUAAAGACCCAUUUACAACCAAUGGCUUUUGCACCAUUGGGUAACUCAAUAAGGUCCCAAACAUCGUUGCACCUCAUGGAACUCAUCUCAUCCUUUAUGGAAUUGUAACACAAUUCUGAUUCUUUGCAACUCAUGGCUUGUGAAAACAAUUCGGGAUCAUUUUCGGCUCUUAUAUUGUAGUCAGAUUCUUGUAGAUACACUACAUAAUCACUAAGAAUUGUUGACCUCUUAGUUCGAGUAGACCUUCUUAAGGUUGCACCAUUAUCUUCUAGGGAAGUAUGAGGUUCAACUUGUUGUUCAGAAGUGUCAUGCAACCUGAUCAACUUAAUCUACUGAAAUGUUGUCAAAAACUUGUGGAACUUCAAUGACUGGUUGGUCUUCAAUAAUUGGUUGAACUUCAACAAUUGUUUGUUCUACACCCAUUUGAACUUGAGGGGUGUUAUGAAUAACAAACAAUUUAUCACUCGAAGUGAAAGGUUGAGACUCUAUAUGAUCAAUAUCAGAAACUAUGUUUCCGAAUUGAUCGCUCCCACUGACCAAGUCAUAUUCAAGAAAUUUAGCAUUUCUUGAUUCCACAAUCCUAGUGUUGUGAGUUGGAUAGUAAAAUCCAUACCCCUUAGACCUUUCAUCAUAUCCAAUGAAAUACCCACUUAUAGUCCUUGAGUCCAGUUUCUUCUCUUUCGGAUUAUUAAUUGUCACUUUAGACGAGCAUCCCUAAACGCGCAUAUGUCGCAAACUCGGUUUCCAACUUUUUCAUAACUCAAAUGGCAUCUUCAGGACAACCUUGGUUGGAACUCUAUUUAAUACAUACACUGUCGUCUUAAGUGCUUCAAUCCACAAGAAUCUAGGAAGUUUUGAGCUACUCAGCAUAUUCCUCACCAUGUCCAAUAAAGUUCGAUUUCUUCUUUCUGCUACACAAUUUUGGUAUGGAGAACCAGGCAUGGUGUAUUGGGCAACAAUCCCAUGCUCUUGAAGAAACUUCGAAAAUGGCCCAGGUGCUUGUCCAAUUUCCAUGUAUCUACCAGAAUAUUCUCCAUCUCUAUCUGAUCUCACAAUCUUAAUUUGUUUACUGCAUUGUUUCUCUAUUUUUGCCUUGAAAACCUUAAAAGCAUCUAAUGCUUCAUUUUUGUUAUGAAACAAGUAGAGAUACAUGUAUUAUGAAUAAUCAUCUAUGAAAGAGAUGAAGUAUUUUUUACCAUGAGAGUCCAUGUCUAGACUACAUAUAUCAAUAUGUAUGAUCUCUAAUAUAGCAGAACUCCUAGUAGCACCUUUCUUUAACUUGUUGAUCUGCUUUUCUUUAAUGCAGUCCACACAAGUCUCAAAGUCAAUAAAAUCUAGAGUACUAAGUACCUCAUCAUCAUUUACCAAUCUUUUGAUUCUAUCUAUGGAGAUAUGACCUAAUCUCCAGUGCCAUAAUGUAGAGGAAUCCUCAUUUACAACACAUCUCUUAAUGUCAGUUUAGACAUGUAAUGAAUUAUAAGUGGUAUCAUUUUGUAAGAAUAUGCAAUAAAGACCAUCAGACAAAAUACCAUUCCCAACACAAUCAGAUUUAUAAGUCAAACUGAAAUAUGUUCCUAAAAAAUGAAAGGAAUAUCCAAAAGGUACAAGUCUAGAAACUGAAAUCAAGUUUCGUGAGAAACUUGGUACAUAAAAGGUCCUUUGCAAUUCUAAAACAAAACCACCAUCUAAAGUUAAAUAACACGUCCUUAUUCCUUCCACAUGUGAGCCCAUCUUGUUUCUGGAUAAGAUGAAUUGCUCACUUCUCACUAACUUCCUUAGGUUUUGCUUACCCUGCAAGGAAUUUGAAAUAUGGAUUGUAGAUCCAAAAUCAAUCCACCAUGUGUUGGUAUUUACGUUAACCAUAUUAGAUUCAUAACAAACAAACGAGGUAGGGUUAUCUUUCUUAUCAAGCCAUAUCCGGAAUUUCAAACAUUUCUUAUUCACAUGUUCUUUCUUUUUAUAGAAGAAACACUUUUCGUCUUUCUUAAUGUCAACUUUGGGAGGAAUUUGAUGUUUCCAUUUCCGAUUGGCUUGAGAUUUUCCUUUCUUUUGCAUUAAAAACGUGACAUUUUCUCCUUGCUCCAUCAUUAACCUUCCUCUUGAACACACAUGGUCAUCAAUUCAUUGAUAUACCACUUAUCCUUAUGUUUGUUGUAAGAGAUUUUGAAAGGUCCAUACUAAGGCAGAAGAGUGUUGAGGAUAAAGUGCACCAAGAAGGAUUCAAACAUUUCUACCUCGAGCUUCUUCAGUUGAGCCACUAUGUCCCUCAUUUCCAUGAUGUGUUCGUGUACACCUUUUAUAUCGGUGAGCUUCAGGGAUGUGAACUUCAUAAUUAGGGUGCUCGCCAAGGCUUUAUCCGAAGUGACGAAUUGCUCGUCAAUAGCCUUUAGCAAUUCACAGACAUUUUCGUGCUACUCGAUUGAACCAUGUAUACCAACACUAAUCUUAGUCUUAAUAUACAUCACACUGAGGCGAUUAGAUUUUUCCUAGCGUUCGUACAAUAGAAUUCGAUCAAGUGUGUUGGUAUCGGUGAUCUUAGGUAGUUCAUCUUUCCUAAUGGCAUAGUCUAUGGCCAUGCACCCUAAUUGAAUAAGAAUUCUUUGCUUCCAUAACUUAAAGUUAUCUCCCCUAAGUUUAGGAACCUCACAAUGAAUAUCAAAAAUGCUAAGUAAAGCUGCACAAAAAGAUUAUAAGCUUAUUAAUAUUUGAGGUUUUAAAUAAAUUCAUGUUUUACCAAUGUAAAACAUGCUUAAAAUUUGAAUCUAAUUUUAUUAAAAAUGUUUGUGGGCUAAAUCUCUAAUUCAAUCAGAUUCAUUAUCUUUAUGAUAGAUUUUAUCAAACUAUUUUUACCGAAUUCAUAAUUUUAAUGUUUAUUAUGAUUAUAGUUUGAUAUCUUCUAUCUUUAAACUUUAUGAUAAACAAUUAAAUUAAUUAUUCCUAACUCCUGUGGGUAAAUUAGGAAAAACUGAUUUUAAUAUUUUAUCCUAAUUAAUUAUACAAACAUAAUGAAAUCCCUAUGGGGUAAAAUCGUUAUAUUUAUAUAAUUAAUUACAAUUAAUGUCCAUUAUGUGAUCCUUAUCCACCUAAUAUAUAAUUUUAUAUAAUUAAAGAUGUUGUGGCUAUUCCUUAAUUAUUUAAAAUUAUAUGGUUCACUAGACAUUAAAAAUAUAUUUUAGGCUCUACUUAAUACCUAAGAAUAAUUAUGCAGUAACAUAAAAGACAACCACAAAAAUGUUUGUGAAUUAUUCAUAACUUAAUUGUUUACCCUAAAUAAUUAUUUUAAUUAAUUUGUGAACAUUUUAUGAAUCUUAAUGUGCUAAAUAAUUUUAACUAAAAUUAUAUGUUAUAACUAUAAUUUAGGCAAUAUUGCAUGCAAAUAAAGCUAUAAAUUAAGUUACACAUAAAAUAACUUAAAUAAAUAGUACCGACAUAAUAUUGGCAUGAAUAAUACAAACAUACAAAUUAGCACAAAUUAACCUUACUUGCAUGUAUAAAGACCACAUAAUAAUUUAUUUAUUUAUUUAUUUUUUUUUUUUGGCAAAUGUAUAAAGGUGGAUGUCAGAUUGUGAGCGGCUGAAGAGGUGCUGUGGGACCCUGCGGAGCACCGGCCAGUUAUCCUUCCACCGACGAGAGCAGGAGGAGAUGUGAAACCUGGUGCCCUCCACUCUAGGAACCACGUCACCCAGGUCUUCGCCCGGACGUCGAGACUCAUCUCCCAACUUGGAACGGGUAGGCGAGCAUUUAACCCCAUCAGUCCCUACCCGCUCAACUGAAACAACAUCCGCCCACCUUAAUGCCCCCACUUGGGCUAGAGGAAUCACAGGAAUUCCAUUAUUUUUGGAAUUAUGGAAUUUAUUCAUGUUUAUUAAAAAUCGAGAAAAUUGUUGAAAAUUAAAGAAAAUUAGGAAAGUUCAUGAUAGGAAAAGAAAGGCUGCAAGUGUUUAUUAAAAAUCAGGAUUUUAAUGCCUAAAAAUGUCUAAGGAUGAAUUUUUAAAGCCGAGAUUAUUUGAAUGAAAAAAUUUUUGAAAACCCAAUUUAAAACAUGUAAGAUCACAAAGAAACAAUAGAAAUGCAUUUGGGAGAGGACAGUGUGCACUAAGGUAGCCAUGCAGGAGUGAGGCCCGGGGAUAGGACUGAGACUGCACCGCUGGUGGUUGCAUGAGGAGACCUAUGCAAAUUGCUGGUAGUCUGGAAAAGAACUGACCAUAUUGAUUUUAGAGGGCUCACUGGGUUUUGGGGCACUACCUCAUCAGCCAAGGCACUCCAACUCAACUCUGGUUUCUCAGAAUCCCAACUUUAUCAUCAACAAAAGCUUAUGGUAGAGUAGUGAGGUCCAAUUCCAGAUCAGAUUCCCUGUGCUGCUACUCAUUCUCCAUCUUCUAGUCCUCAAUAUUGUAACUGACUCAUCCAUUUUCUCACAAUUCACUUCUGGAUUUUUGCAGCUCAACUUCUGUGUUCUCUUGUUCAUUAUGAGUUCCAUCUUUUAUUUCCAAAACUUCAAGAAAACCUAAAUCACCAGGUUGGGGCACCCUCCAUCUCACUGGGAUAGACCUCCACUGCAGCUUGUGUAUUUCCGAUAUAUUUCAUAGGCGUAGAAAGAGAAUGGUAAGCUAGAAGGCAAGCAUCUGAAUUCUUUAAUGCUUGUCUCAUGGGUAUUCAGUUUAUGGGAUUCCAGGUCACAGACAUCCAACCGACAGGCAACAAGUCACAACUUCUUAGUGUUUUCAGCUCAGGAUACUCACAUGCAAGGUCCAGAACUCAUUGAGCAAACGCUGAACUCUUCUGAUUAAUACCAUUUCCCCGACCCUCUAUUUUGGCAACCAUUUUGGGCAUCUCAUACCUGUAAAAGGCAUCAUCACUAUUCCCAGCACCUAUAUUCUGCAAAGCCAUCUUUGCUUUAGAAUAAAGAGACCAGAAAAAGGACUAAAUAUCAACAGGGAGCAAUUGCUGAAUUCAGUAUGUGGGCAGCAGUAUUUUUGACACAGGAAAACUAAUUGUCUCUGGCUAAGGAAGGUUGCAUCCAACUUCUUUCAACUCUGUCACGCCUUCCUUGUAGACUUCAACACAUGUAUAUUGACCAGUGCUCGGUGGAACCUCAAAGCAGAAAUUUCUAGUUUCAUUAAUUAUUUCCAUGGGGUUCUCCAAGUUGCUUUGAGUAUUACUUGCUAGAUAUUCUCCAAGUGAACCCUCCUAGUUACCUCUUUAAAAAUGAGUGGAGCUAGUCUUUUUGAUCUGGGAUUUUUUCUGCAAAAAGUUGGGUUCUUUCAAUAUCGGAGUUAGGAACACAUGGCAAGGAGGAGGGGUCAUUCCCAACCACUUCUUGCUCUAAGGGUAAUAUCUGGUGGAAACUAUANNNNNNNNNNNNNNNNNNNNNNNNNNNNNNNNNNNNNNNNNGAGGAUUUAUUUUUAAAAAAAAUUAAUUUUCAUGAUGAAAAUUCAAUGCCUGCACUUUUAGAAUUUAACAUGCAUAUGACUGAUAUGUGCAAUUUUUGUUGGCACAGUGACAGUUACCCAUCCAUGAUGUACAAGUAAUAUUGGUCCCACUCUCUUACACAAAAAGAUGUAUUCAAAAUUAAGGGUAUGUUUCUUCCACAAAAAAAAAAAAAGAAAAGAAAAUGGAAGUCAUGUGUGGUAGGGUAUGUAUUCACGUGCAGGUGUAGGAGGCUUUGUUGCAACCAAUUACUCUCCCUUCCCAAGUAUUGGAAGGGAUAACAUAGAAGUCAUUUCCGUUAUCCUCAAUGUUUGAAUACAAGUACCUGAUGUAAAAAUAAUUCUUCUUUUUAGGACAAAGUCCCCUCUUGAAUUUUUUCCUAUUUUCUCGUCAAAAUUUUUAUGCCAUCAAAAUAGAGUGAUUCUUAUAAGCCUGGGAUGUAAUGUUGGUUGACUAUUAUGAUAGUAAAUUAAUUAGGGAGGAUGCUUGCAUAUAACAAUUUUAUUUUAUUUUAUUUUUAAUCAUGGAGCACAUUUUGGCCCAAAACUGCCCAUUACUAACGGCUGGUACUCCCAUGGUAGCAUAUAAUGUAUCUUUGAUGGACAUGCAUUUGUAUAAUUUUUUUAUGAUUUAUGAUUUAUGAUAUUUAUAAUAAAUCUAUAAUUAUUUAUUAUUAUUAUUAUUAUUAUUAAAUUGCUUUUUGUUGAGAAAAAAAGAUAAUAUGCAAAGGAAGCCAAUAUUUAUUUGAUGGUGCAUGCAAUUUAUCUGUGCACUGUCUUUAAUCGUACAUUGAAUGUUGCAAUGCAUAUAAUAAGACCAUAUAAAAAUUAAAAAAGAAAAAGAAAAAAAAGGAAUGAAUGAUUCAAUAAUACUAACAUGUGCAACAGUUUAUCUAAAUAUGGUUUCUAAUUUUAAAAUUUGAACAAAGAUAUUUAUUUAUUUUAUUGGAGUUGGAUUUGAAUGUUUGGAUUGACCAAUUCCAUAAAUAAUUAUUUAUUUAUUUUAUUGGAGUUGAAUUUGAAUGCCUGGAUUGACCCGAUUAAAUAAAUAAUUAUUUAUUGGGUUUGCGUUUGAGUGCUCAAGUGAACUAAGCCAACCUAAUAAAUGAAAAUAGGGAGAAGUUUUUGAGAGCUUAAAAAUUACUAAAAAACUAUUAUAAAAAAAUAAAUAGUAUAAGAAAAUAAAAAAUAAGAUAAUUCUUCUUUCGAGGACAAAGUCCCCUCUUGAAUUUUUUCCUAUUUUCUCUAUAAAAAUGAGGGCCAAAAUUUUUAUGCCGCCAAGAUAGAGUGAUUCUUAUAAGCCUUGGAUGUGAUGCUGGUUGACUAUUAUGAUAGUAAAUUGGGGAGGAUGCUUGCAUAUAGUGUAUCUUUGAUGGACAUGCAUUUGUAUAAUUUUUUUUAUGAUUUAUAAUAUUGCAUCAAUGUUUAUGAACAUUUUGCAAUCAUGAUUUGGUUUGAUUUGAUUUUUUGGACGUGCAACAUAAGAAAUAGGUUUUGUAUUAAGAUAUUUGAAUGGGUAUAGAUUUGUACUUAAGAAAUGAACAUAUGAUUAAAAUAAACCUGUUUCUAACCUUUUAACACACAAAUUUGGAAAUCUAAACAUAUGGAUUGUUUCUGAAAGCAGCGCUGACUUUUCCUUUCCUACCAAAUACAAACAUCAUGGCUGGAGAGUUAAUGAAGAUUUUUACCACUACCAUGGAUUCUGGUGCUAUUCCUUCUUCCUAGAAGGAACCAUGAAAUCUCAAGAACACUUCCAGGUCCAAUCUUUACAAAUUAUUUCAUUUUGAUUUUUUUUUCAAAUCUAUAAUUAUUUAUUAUUAUUGUUAAAUUUAAAUCUAUAAAUUAUUAUGCGAGGUCAAAGUUUCAAAAGUAUUCUACAUAUAUUUUAAAUUUAUUUCUUGGUCAAUUCUCAUAAUUAUAGUGGUCCUGCUCAUUGAACUGGUCCUGGAAGAACAUUCAAAUUACUUUAUCUUAUAUUGAUACGUGGCGAGAAAUUGUUGAACCCCGGGAGAAUCGUCUUGAAUAUAUUAUGAAUUAUCUAUUAAAGAAAUACAGCAAAAGUUCGGGAGAAACCGGCUGUUGGGUGCCCACAGAAGGUGACAGCAGCCAUAAAAGUUGCUGUUCAGCUUUCACCAAUUCUAGUUUUGGUUCUCUCCAGCCUCUAUAAAUACCUUUCAUCUAUUCAUGUCAAAGAGCAGAUAAGUCGUGCUAUUAGAAAUAGUAAGAAAAUCGAAGGAGUUGUGUUUAGGACAAGAGAAGCUUUUCUUCCAAAGAAGAUGUGGCUGAUCAUGAAGGUUUUCCUCUUGCAAAUUUUAGCGUUUCUACUUUUUGGUGGUGGCAUCUAUUGCCAAGCUUCAACCCGUCGGCUGACUUUUGUGGUAAAUACUAUAUAUGAUUUUAGCCUUAACGCCACCUUAUGAUCGUAAUAUUUAGGGAGUAGUAUUACUCUCAUUUUCCACCGUAUGACCCCCAUGGGGUUCUCGGGUACCCUGUGUCAUUGAGUCAUUCAUGCAGGCUAUCAAUUUCUAAUUGGUUAUACACUUGCAUGAAUGGAUCGAUGCAACUAUUCAUGCAUGUAAUAUGUCUUUAGGGAUGAGGUUGCAUGGUUAACUUUUAAUUGGUUGCAGGUGAAGGAAGCUUCAUAUACAAGGCUUUGUAGCACCAAGAACAUCUUAACAGUAAAUGGACAAUUUCCUGGACCAACUAUAUAUGCUAAGAAAGGAGAGACGAUCAUUGUCGACGUUUAUAACAAAGGAAAAGAAAACAUCACCAUUCAUUGGUAGGUCUUGUGCGUAUCUCAAAAAAACGAUAGUAAUCGGUAGCAUGCCUACAUGACAUACAUUCUUUUAUUUCUAAGAGGGGGUUGCAAUAUAUUGCUUUGCAAAUAAAGUCAAAUUUAAACAAUACUUUAUGGUUAUUUGCUUCAAUUCCAUUGAAAUACAGUUGAUGCCUCUUGUUACUAUGACAAUAUGUUGUUGCAUGCCAUCUUUUGUUAGUCCAAAAAUUAGUACUAGUUUUAAUGUAUAGUUAUUGUUUUGCAGGCAUGGGGUGAGCAUGCCUAGAUAUCCAUGGACAGAUGGUCCUGAGUAUAUCACACAAUGCCCAAUUCAACCAGGGUCAAAGUUUAGCCAAAAGAUCAUCCUUUCCUUUGAGGAAGGCACUCUAUGGUGGCAUGCUCACAGUGAUUGGACCCGAAACACCGUUCAUGGAGCUAUAAUCGUCUAUCCCAAGAAUGGAACCAAGUAUCCUUUUCCCAAACCUAAUGCAGAAAUUCCCAUCAUAUUAGGUAUAAGUGUUGUUACUUUUAAAGGUUAAUUUACAUAUCAUGAAUUAACCAACAAAUCAAGGUCUAAAAUUAUUGGAUUUGUUGAAAUGCAGGACAAUGGUGGAAGAGUGAUGCGAAUGUGGUUCGAGAUGAAGCGCUUGCAACUGGAGCUGACCCCAAUGCCUCUGAUUCUUUAUUGAUAAAUGGACAACCUGGUGAUCUAUUUCCAUGCUCAAAACCAGGUACAAAUUAAGUUUAACUUCCCAUUUUAAAAUUGUACAUGAUUUCAUUUUCUUGUAUUUUGACCAUAUUACUUUUUCUUAUUAACAUCAACAUAUUUAAAGCUUAAUGCUAAAAAAGAGGAAUAUAGCUAUGAGGAUGGUAGAGCCAUGAUUUAACACAUAAGAAAAGGCUAGUCCGAAUAUAAUUUUGAACUAUGGAGCCAAAUUUACACCCCUAAUCACUUCAUAAUUGGUGGAUCCUCAUGGAAAAUUUUCUUUUUCUUUUCACUAGUCAUAAGUAUAAAAAUUUCCCUUUCUAAUUGCAGGCACAUUCAAGCUAACGGUGGAUCAUGGAAAGACCUAUCUACUUCGCAUAAUCAAUGCUGCCUUGCACGAGGCUCUCUUCUUCUCCAUUGCCAAGCAUAAAAUGACAGUGGUUGGAACAGAUGGUAGCUACACAAAACCAUUGACACGAGAUUAUAUCACAAUAUAUCCUGGCCAAACCUACGAUGUCUUACUAGAAGCUAACCAACACCCGGAUCACUAUUACAUGGCAGCUAAAACUUAUUCCAUUGCCCCGGCAGCUCGUAAUUUUUUUGACAACACAACCACCACAGCUAUUGUACAGUACAGGGGAUACUACACUCCAUCUUCACCUCUCUCCUUGCCUUAUUUGCCUACAUACAAUGACACAAAUGCAUCGGUUCAGGUCAUGGCCGGCCUCCGAAGCUUAGCAGAUGCGGAAUAUCCUUGCAAUGUCCCAUUGAGCCCGAGCACUAAACUGAUUUACACUGUUGGUAUGAACUCGUACCUAUGCCCCAAUAAUUCAUGUGCAGGGCCCAAUGGGACGCGGUUCUCCGCAAGUAUAAACAACAUAAGCUUCCAAUUCCCUACAAUUGACAUACUGCAAGCUUACUAUUAUAACAUUAGUGGUGUAUAUGGAGAUAAAUUUCCU